GGGGUUGUGGCCUAAUGGUAAGGCGUUGGUUUUCGGUAAUAAUACUUCUAUAGAAACCCACCAAAGAUUGCAGGUUCGAGUCCUGUCAGCCUCG
Tirmania nivea is the source of this 94-nucleotide non-coding RNA. Lineage: Eukaryota; Fungi; Ascomycota; Pezizomycetes; Pezizales; Pezizaceae. The record is from the annotation of a GenBank genome assembly.